Molecule: transfer RNA, 66 nt
Filed under: Megalobenedenia derzhavini
Lineage: Eukaryota; Metazoa; Platyhelminthes; Monogenea; Capsalidea; Capsalidae
Description: tRNA-Met
Source: RNAcentral
AGUGGAAUAAGUUAAUCUAGACUGGCUGGUUCAUGUCCAGCAUGUAUAUAAUUUAUAUUUCUUCUA